This 64-nucleotide transfer RNA is filed under the name Selenophorus alternans. Its description in RNAcentral is "tRNA-Asp". Lineage: Eukaryota; Metazoa; Arthropoda; Insecta; Coleoptera; Carabidae. RNAcentral also lists the same sequence under 1 other name. The record is from RNAcentral.
AAAGAAUUAGUUAACCUAUAACAUUAGAAUGUCAAUCUAAAGUCAUUAAUUUUAAUAUUCUUUG